CUAUAAACAAUAUCGUUGCACACACUAGCUUGUACAUUCUGUCAUUGGCCCUCACCUUAGGAUAUUUCCAUCAAACUGCUGCUGGUCUCCCAUCCUUUCUUGGAUCGCUUACUGCUGUGAGUGUCCCAUGGAAAAUUUGGCCAUUAUUAGAAUCUCUUCCAUUCUUACGACCCAUUUCAACAGGUUUUUGGAGGCUUUGAACAACAAGCUGGACCAUAGCUCCGGCUGCCUUACCCUCCAGUUUGUGACCCUUCUCUGUCAAAAAGAGCUUCGUUUCCUCAGCAAUCUCUAUGUGAUCGCCAUCGAUCACGGUCCAGUUCUCAUACUUAACAAUAUUAGGCAUUAACUUAUGGUAGACCCUUGGACUCUGAACUGCAGUUAAAGGUUCCAUUCCCAAGA
RNAcentral lists this unclassified non-coding RNA (399 nucleotides) under Hevea brasiliensis (rubber tree). The record is from RNAcentral. Lineage: Eukaryota; Viridiplantae; Streptophyta; Magnoliopsida; Malpighiales; Euphorbiaceae.